GGGCCCGUGGCCUAGUUUGGAUAGGGCGCAGCCAAAUAUUUAGGAGAGCGGCGCAAGCCUUCGGAAGCAUGCUGCUGAGGAAAGCCUGAGGUCGGGGGUUCAACUCCCCCCGGGCCCG
RNAcentral lists this transfer RNA (118 nucleotides) under Candidatus Bathyarchaeota archaeon. RNAcentral's name for it is "tRNA-OTHER". It matches the Rfam family "tRNA". Rfam says of the family: Transfer RNA (tRNA) molecules are approximately 80 nucleotides in length. The record is from RNAcentral. Lineage: Archaea; Thermoproteati; Candidatus Bathyarchaeota.